Molecule: ribosomal RNA, 370 nt
Filed under: uncultured organism
Description: bacterial SSU rRNA
Rfam family: Bacterial small subunit ribosomal RNA
Source: RNAcentral
CGAAGGGGGCUAGCGUUGUUCGGAAUUACUGGGCGUAAAGCGAGUGUAGGCGGUUGCCCAAGUCAGGUGUGAAAGCCUUGAGCUCAACUCAAGAAAUGCACUUGGUACUGGGUGGCUAGAGGACCGGAGAGGAUAGUGGAAUUCCCAGUGCAGUGGUGAAAUACGUAGAGAUUGGGAAGAACACCAGUGGCGAAGGCGGCUAUCUGGACGGUUACUGACGCUAAGACUCGAAAGCGUGGGGAGCAAACAGGAUUAGAUACCCUGGUAGUCCACGCCGUAAACGAUGGGUGCUAGACGUUGGCGAGCUUGCUCGUCGGUGUCGCAGCUAACGCGUUAAGCACCCCGCCUGGGGAGUACGGCCGCAAGGUUG